CAAUGAGCAGAUAUCUGCAUUGAAAUAGCCUUUUCGUCAUGUUUUCACAUUGCCAAAUACCGUAGAAAAUGAGGUAAAUUGAGGGACAUUAAUGAGAAACAUUACUACCUGUUAAUAUGUUGUAGACAUUUAAACUUUGAGUCUAACUGUUUGCAUCUUGCCUCUCUUUGGCUUUAUACAGGUGGUGAAUGCUGAAGUCUUCCAUUCUUUCUGCACCAGGUCCUGUGCUGUUGCACCAUCAACUAACGAAAGUGCAGGUGGACCAUUACUAGAAAAAGAGCAGGACUGCAAACAGAAAAGUCCAAGUCAACAAGCCAGUGACGGUUCUCAACUUGACGCCAGCAGUAACCAACUCUACAAAGAAAACGCAGCAUUCCUCUUCUCCAAAGUAAACCUAUAACAAAAACCCCUGCCAUCUAUAAUAGCAACUCAUGGUCCCACGGAGCUUCAUACAUUUUCCAGAGUUUCAAAACCUGGCUAACACUGAGUCAAGUUAGGAGCCUCAAUCGAUAUCUCUGACCAACUUAAAGCAUGUGUAGAAUGUUUGAUGUACCUGAAAGUGAGUAAAAUGUGAAAGUCAAUUGCUGGAAUUGGUUGAAUGAGAAUGUCGAGUGAAGAAGACAAGACAGCAGCAGAGGAAGAGGAAUGUAUCAUCCAAGAAGGGAAAAGAGAAAUACUAUUACUAUCUAUUGUCUUGGUGGUUCUCAUGAGGAGUUAAGGGAGAAUUUCUAACCAGGAAGAAGAUCACAGAAACACACUAUACAGGCCAAGCAUGGUGGUUCAUGCCUGUAAGCCCAGCACUUUGGGAGGCCAAGGCUGGUGGGUCAUGAGGUCAGGAGUUCGAGACCAGCCUGGCCAAUACAAAUACAAAAAAUUAGUUGGGCAUAGUGGUGCUGGCCUGUAGUCCCAGCUACUUGGGAAGCUGAGGCAGAAGAAUUGCUUGAACCUGGGAGGUGGAGGUUGCAGUGAGCCAAAAUCAUGCCACUGUACUUCAGCCUGGCCAACAGAACAAGACUCCAUCUCAAAUAAAAAAAAAAUUCUAUAUAUACAACCCUGAAGUCCUUCACCAAGCAAGCACAAGGAUGGAAGCUUUGACCUUUUGCAUAAUUUUGAGGCCUAAAGUGUGAGAAUUGCUGGAAAUGCUAUGAUAUUAUAUUUGUAUUAAUUUGUUUUUAUUUAGAAAUGUUGAUGAAGAUGAUGGUAAUGAUGAUGACACUUAAAAUAACAGGUACUCACUGUUAAAAAAUAAUCUUAAAAGUUUACCAAACUUACAAUAAAGAAAGAGUAAAAGUUAUCCUUGGUGCUGCAACCUUUGUCCAACAUGGUUCAUGUAACCAGUGUUAAGAGUGUAACCACAAAGUUUUUUAGUGGAGUAUUUGUAAGCAAUUAUGUUUACCCAACAAGAUAUACUAGUAUUGCUUUUCUUUGCCUCUGUUUCUGAUGAGUUAUUCAUACAAUAGAGGCUAGAAUACUCAAGUGAAAAUAAUAC
This 1489-nucleotide long non-coding RNA is filed under the name Callithrix jacchus (white-tufted-ear marmoset). Its description in RNAcentral is "lncRNA (ENSCJAG00000052454.2)". The record is from RNAcentral. Lineage: Eukaryota; Metazoa; Chordata; Mammalia; Primates; Cebidae.